This 308-nucleotide long non-coding RNA is filed under the name Brassica napus (rape). Its description in RNAcentral is "long non-coding RNA (BNAP_LNC000458)". The record is from RNAcentral. Lineage: Eukaryota; Viridiplantae; Streptophyta; Magnoliopsida; Brassicales; Brassicaceae.
UUUACAAAGAUAAGAAUUAAAACUUGGUUAACUCGGACUUAGAUUGAAAGGAUAAGGCCGCAGAUCAGUUUGGGCAGCCACAGAUGGCCUGUGUGUGCUGACGGACACACACGGACGUCCUGUGUUUGCUGACGGACACCCACAGACGUCCUGUGUGUACUAAACAAACAGCCCACGGGACAUCACACACAACCCUUGGUAACUCGUGACCUUUGGCCACUCGUGCCUCUUGGGACAUGACCAACCAUUUUGCCCAACAGCCCAGUCUAUGUUGCAAUUCGAACCGACCAUCUAACCGACCAGCAUCU